Molecule: long non-coding RNA, 3290 nt
Filed under: Homo sapiens (human)
Lineage: Eukaryota; Metazoa; Chordata; Mammalia; Primates; Hominidae
Description: HSALNT0301026
Source: RNAcentral
UUAGAGGCCACUUUCUUCAAGUCUCUAAUUUUGCAUAUGAGAAACACUAAGACUCAGCAGAUAAGGAUGGAGGCGACUCAACAUCACACUGAGACAGAUAUGAGCCCUGCAUUUCUGAAUGCCUUGAAAGAAAAACCAGCAAGUUGGGAGGGCCGUGUCUCCUUAUCAUCUUCCAGGAAUUCAAAACCGUGAUUUCCAGUUUCCAAAUGCAACUCAAGCUCCAUCACCCUGUACAUCUUGCACGGUUUCUCCAGCAUAUCCUGAUCGCCACCUCCAGACCCUUCUGAUAGAUUCAUUACCUGAAUCUAUUUGCUAUUUCUUUAUAUGAAUGCAAGAAUGGACUAACACACUGACCAUGGAACAUAGACAGAUGUGAGAAGAUCCAGAAAAGAUGCAGCUCAAUUAAUUAGAAAGGCCUCUGGAAUGGGCACAAGCCAGAUCCUGAACUCCUGCUCUCCCUUGGCUCAACCUCAUCACAGCCAGAAAGGAUGAGAGCUCUUUAAUGAAGUGCAUACAUGUCAGUUUCCCAGGACACAAACCAAAGUAAAGAAGAAUGGAGCAUGCUCCUAUAAAGGAAAAUAAAAGGAGAUCCAUAAAGCAAAUCCAACUCAUGGACACUUACUAAACAUGCACUGUGUUCAUGUAAUGGCUCCAAGAAUCUUAGUGGACAUGGACGGAAGUACACACCUGGAGUGGACCUACAGAAGCUCAGAGUCAAAUGGCAGAAAGAUGAUAUGGGCAUUGAAUACAUUAAAUGAAAAUAAAAGUAAUAAAUCACAAGAGAAGAGAGUAACUGAGGGUGUCACUGGGCAGUACAUUAGCAAUUAAUUACCAGACACCUAUGCAGUUAAAAUGUACUGCUGGCCUUCAAAGGUGAAGGAAUCCAUGGCCUGGAAUGACCAUAAAAAAUUUAUUUUAACAAAAAGACAUGACUGUAGCCUUUUAGGGUAAAGAGAUUUUAACAUUUGAAGAGCAGAGAGACAGGUACAGCAUUGCAGGCUAGGAAAUGUGGGAGUUCAAAAUGGCAGACCAGGAGGAAGGCAAGUUGUGUUUGGGAAAAUUGACUUUAUGGUUAUUAGAAAGACCAUGUAAGCAAGCAGAGAUCAAUUGUGCUAGAAAUGUUUUUCAAAUUGAGCAUCUGGUGUGUGUUAGGCACUGCUCUCGGCACUGGGGAUACAGCUGUGAACAUGAUCAACAAGGACCCUGCAAUCAUGGAGAUUAAAUUAUAGUGAGGCAAACAGAAUAUAAAUAAAUAUACACAUUAGGUGAAAGCCAGACAGCUUCGGGUCUUAUGGAGAGAGUUACUGUUGGAGCAUGUACUAGAGAAUGACUAAAUGGUAACUAUAUGGGAUGGUCGAAGAUGACCUCAAUGAGGAAUCUCUACACUUAGAUAAGACCCAAAUAGCAAGAAUGGUUCUUGUUCUGUAUUAUAAUCAAGAGGAAGAGGAUUUCAGGCAGAGGGAAAAAUGGGAUCCAUGGGCUAAAACAGGUACUUGAAUGAUGUUUUUGAGGAAAUAAAUGAAGAUCAGGGUGGCUAGAGCAUUGUGAUGAAGGUUUACACCAGGUGCUGGCUGGUUUUUAUUCCUAGUGAGAGACAAUUGUUGCAUUUUCAGGGAUUUUGUAAGGCAAUUCAUAUAACGUUGGUAGCUUAUAAUUGACUAUGGUAGGAAUAUUCAUACCUGAGAAAUCGGCAAACACUGUGAAUCAGGACUCCCUCUUUGUCCCCAACCCUCAACUCCCAUUCAGAGAGCCUGUUUUUGAGUAUUUUCUUGCAUACCACAGAGUGAGUAUAAGAAGCAGCUGGAAUAGUAACUAGGAACCAAUCAUCUUAGGCUUUAUAAGGCAGAGAAAGGAAUUUUAAUUUUAGGUGUGUUGGGAAGCCAUUAGUGGGUCUUAUGUAGGAAAUGAAUAUGGUCUGAUUUACAUAUGUAAAGGAUAAUUCUGAGUAUGUUAUGGAACACUUUGUAAAUAGGUAAAAAGAGAAAUAGGAAAAUCAGCUAUUGCAUUAGACUCAGUUAGAAGUGGCAGUGGUUUUGCUAGGGGUUAUAUAAAAGGAAGAAAACUUAAUAAUGUUAGGCCUGACUAUAGGUAGAAUCUAUAGUUUUUACUCAUGAAUUGGAUGUAAGAAUUGAGGAGAAACGAAGAACCAAGUAAAAAUUUUGAGCUUUGGCUUGGGAAACUAGGUAUAUGGUAACGCCAAAAAGAGAGAUGUAGAGAAUUGAUGUAGGAGCAAAGCUGGGCUGGGAAAUUGAGAAAAUUAUACCUGCCUUGUUAAAGUUGAAACACCCACAUGACACUCACCUGGAAGGAUAUUCACACUUGGAUUGUUGGGGAAUAAUAAGAACUAGAGAUACAGUUUGAGGGUCACUGGCAUAGAGAUAGUAAUUAAAACCAGGAUGUCAGUUAUAUCACCUAGGGAUAAUGCAAAGAGAGAGAAAAGCAGGAGAUAAGACAGAUCGAGCAGUGGGAGAAGCCGGCAUUGAAGAAUGAAGAGGAAAACCAGGCGUGUCUAGUGCCAUGAUGCCAAGAGAAAAACCCAGCUCCGAGAAGACAGGAGUUUGUUUGCUAAUGUUAUUGAGGGAUAAAGUAAAAUACGAAGAGAGAAGUAACUUGGACUGGCGGCAAAGCGAUCACCAGUGCUCCUUCUAACUGUGGUGUCGAUAAAGUAAUGUGGACUGGAUGAAGGAGCCUCGUUGGAAUAAACUCAUAUAGGAAUGAUGAUACCGUGUUUACCUACUAAUGGGAAUGACCCUAUUGAAGAGGGAACAUCACGUAUGUUGGGGAGCGGAAAAGUCAAAGUCCUCGAAAAGAUGGAAUUCUGCUCCUGGAACCAGCCACCAUGCUAUGCAGAGCUGAAUCCAUGUAGAAAGCUAGCAAGAGGAUUCAAGGAGCCCUGGCUGACAGCUGAGCUGAGCUCUGUCCUGUAGCCAGCACUGACAGCCAGCUAUGUAAUUGAGCCAUCAUAGACAUUACCGUCUCAUUGUGCCUUCGGAAGAUGACAGCCCCAGUCAAUACCACACAGAGCGGAAGAACUACCCAGCUGAGACCAGUCCUACACCGAAUUGUGAAAGAUGAUAAAUGGUCAUUGUUCUCAGCUAUUACAUUUUCAGAGUCAUUUGUUAUACAGGGAUAAAUAACCAAAUCACCCUCCAUUUCUAUUCAGCUUUUAGCUUCAAUCUAGACCCUCAGUAUCCUCAGUUUUUGGAAGUAUACUCGCAAGCAUUUGGCACAUAAUAAAGGCUCAGUGAAUAUUAAAUAUGUGUGUGUAUAUAUACAAUCCACUUCUAUAC